RNAcentral lists this long non-coding RNA (574 nucleotides) under Gossypium barbadense (sea-island cotton). Its description in RNAcentral is "long non-coding RNA (GBAR_LNC021111)". Lineage: Eukaryota; Viridiplantae; Streptophyta; Magnoliopsida; Malvales; Malvaceae. The record is from RNAcentral.
UGACUUCAAAAUUCGGACUGUAUUGAGCUAUAGAUGGAAAGAAUAUUGUAGGAAGUGAAUAUGAAAGUACCUUCACAUUGCAUACUCCAACAUGAUCUGAUCCCAUCAUUGAAUUCAUACAAAUAUAUGGGUCCCAUCGUGCAACCCUCUAAUUAAAACUAUAAUUAGAAACUUUGGAGAAAAACAUAAAUGACUCAUUUAACAUCCAGAGAAUGCUAGUAACUACAAAAAGUAUAGCCGUCCCCUUGUUUUGUACAUUAGUUGAAGACGUCUGGAUAAAAUCAUAACCGCAGUCCUUUCUUUCCUUUCAUUUUCUGUUUUUGUUUAGCAGCAAUCAUUUUCUGUUUUUGUUUAGCAGCAAUCUUUGGCCUCCAUACACGAGGAGUUGAUGAAUCAUUUAUUUGAAUCUUCCAGCCGUGUACGGAUACUGAAGAUUGCUGUUCAAUAAAAAUGACAGGUUGUAACUUGGUGAGCGGUUGUCACGUUUGGCUCUUACUUUGAGUAGACUCUUCUUUAGUUUUAACUUGCUUUUCUAGUUUGCAAGUUCCCUUCAGGAGAUGAAUGUUGGUAGCUG